UACAGAGGGGGCAAGCGUUAUUCGGAAUUAUUGGGCGUAAAGGGCGCGUAGGCGGCCUGACAAGUGGAAGGUGAAAUCCCUCGGCUUAACCGAGGAACUGCCCUCCAAACUGUUUGGCUUGAGACCGGGAGAGGUGAGUGGAAUUCCCAGUGUAGCGGUGAAAUGCGUAGAUAUUGGGAGGAACACCAGUGGCGAAGGCGGCUCACUGGACCGGUUCUGACGCUGAUGCGCGAAAGCGUGGGUAGCAAACAGG
RNAcentral lists this ribosomal RNA (253 nucleotides) under uncultured bacterium. RNAcentral describes it as "partial 16S ribosomal RNA". It matches the Rfam family "Bacterial small subunit ribosomal RNA", at positions 524 to 776 of the family's 1533-position model. The record is from RNAcentral.